AACACAUGCAAGUCCAACGUGAAAGGGGAGCAAUCCCCCGGUAGGGUGGCAAACGGGUGAGUAAUACAUGGGUGAUCUACCUUAGGGAUGGGGAUAUCCUUCCGAAAGGAGGGGCAAUACCGAAUAUUGUCCGGAGCCGUGAAGGGUUCCGGGGAAAGGGAGGCCUCUGAUACAAGCUUUCGCCUUAAGAUGAGCCCAUGGCCCAUCAGCUAGUUGGUAGGGUAAAGGCCUACCAAGGCUACGACGGGUCGCUGGUCUGAGAGGACGACCAGCCACACUGGCACUGAGAUACGGGCCAGACUCCUACGGGAGGCAGCAGUGAGGAAUAUUGCGCAAUGGGGGAAACCCUGACGCAGCAACGCCGCGUGUGGGAAGAAGGCCUUCGGGUCGUAAACC
Molecule: ribosomal RNA, 396 nt
Filed under: uncultured bacterium
Lineage: Bacteria
Description: bacterial SSU rRNA
Rfam family: Bacterial small subunit ribosomal RNA
Source: RNAcentral